AAAAGUACUAAAUUACCCCCACUCCUCCCCCAGCUCGCCUGCUAGAGGAAGUUGCAACCACGUCAGCCGGUGGGGCUCCACUGUUUCCACGUGGCAUUCGUGCAUGGGUGAUGUUUUUUUCAGUUGGGUGCACGAGAGUGGUGUGAUCUUCUCUUUGAUCCUCUCGUCCGUGUGAUGCUGUCAUUCUUUGCAGUCUGCAC
This 200-nucleotide long non-coding RNA is filed under the name Linum usitatissimum (flax). Its description in RNAcentral is "long non-coding RNA (LUSI_LNC003314)". Lineage: Eukaryota; Viridiplantae; Streptophyta; Magnoliopsida; Malpighiales; Linaceae. The record is from RNAcentral.